AAAUUGAAGAGUUUGAUCAUGGCUCAGAUUGAACGCUGGCGGCAGGCCUAACACAUGCAAGUCGAACGGUAACAGGAAGCAGCUUGCUGCUUCGCUGACGAGUGGCGGACGGGUGAGUAAUGUCUGGGAAACUGCCUGAUGGAGGGGGAUAACUACUGGAAACGGUGGCUAAUACCGCAUAACGUCGCAAGACCAAAGAGGGGGACCUUCGGGCCUCUUGCCAUCAGAUGUGCCCAGAUGGGAUUAGCUAGUUGGUGAGGUAACGGCUCAC
RNAcentral lists this ribosomal RNA (271 nucleotides) under Salmonella enterica subsp. enterica serovar Muenchen. RNAcentral's name for it is "partial 16S ribosomal RNA". It matches the Rfam family "Bacterial small subunit ribosomal RNA", at positions 1 to 268 of the family's 1533-position model. The record is from RNAcentral. RNAcentral also lists the same sequence under 4 other names. Lineage: Bacteria; Pseudomonadati; Pseudomonadota; Gammaproteobacteria; Enterobacterales; Enterobacteriaceae.